This 21-nucleotide non-coding RNA is filed under the name Caenorhabditis elegans. Lineage: Eukaryota; Metazoa; Nematoda; Chromadorea; Rhabditida; Rhabditidae. The record is from RNAcentral.
UCGUUUUACAUGUAAAUUUAC